GGGAGGUUUCCCUGAUCUGCAGGAAUCAGCGUGGACGGCAGAGCCUCCCUGACAGGAGAGGGAAUAGUUAUGGAAGGACCUGAGAUGAGUGGAGGCGAGUGUGGAGAGGCUAUGCAGGCCCAGACUCUGGGACCCCGUAGGCCAUGGGAAGAACUUCGAUCUUCAGUCCAGGAGCCCUGGGAACGGAAUAUUGUUGUUUGACUUUUGCGAUGAUCAGUUUCACAUAUCCACUUGGCCAGUCGCUGGUACCCGGUUAUUCCAUCAAACACUAAAUCAGAUUAUCCUGGGUGAGACUGAUUCAAUCAGCUGAAAGACCUCAGGAGCGGAACUGAGGCUUCCCUGAGAAAACAUAAAUUCUGCCUAUGGACAGCAAUUUCAGUUCACCCCUAAAAUCCCACCCUCCUCUUUCUGAUGGCCUGUGCUGUGGACUUCCGAUGUGCCUUGCCAGCGCCCACAAUCAUGUGCAGCAAGUUGCCUUUUUAAAAUGUGCACUUUGGCCGGGUGUGGCAGCUCACUCUUGUAAUCCUAGCACUUCGGGAGGCCGAAGUGGGAGAACUGCUUGAGGCCAGGAGUUCGAGACCAGCCUGGGCAACAUCGUGAGACCACAUCUGUACAACAAAUAAAAUUUAAAAAAAUAUUAGCCAGGCAUGGUGGUGCAUGC
RNAcentral lists this long non-coding RNA (661 nucleotides) under Homo sapiens (human). Its description in RNAcentral is "non-protein coding lnc-TRIML2-2:3". The record is from RNAcentral. Lineage: Eukaryota; Metazoa; Chordata; Mammalia; Primates; Hominidae.